Molecule: ribosomal RNA, 492 nt
Filed under: uncultured bacterium
Lineage: Bacteria
Description: partial 16S ribosomal RNA
Rfam family: Bacterial small subunit ribosomal RNA
Source: RNAcentral
AGUGAACGCUGGCGGUAGGCCUAACACAUGCAAGUCGAACGGCAGCACAGUAAUAGCUUGCUCGUACGGGUGGCGAGUGGCGGACGGGGGAGGAAUACAUCGGAAUCUACUUUUUCGUGGGUGAUAACGUAGGGAAACUUACGCUAAUACCGCAUACGACCUACGGGUGAAAGCAGGGGAUCUUCGGAACUUGCGCGAUUGAAUGAGCCGAUGUCGGAUUAGCUAGUGGGCGGGGUAAAGGCCCACCAAGGCGACGAUCCGUAGCUGGUCUGAGAGGGUGAUCGGCCACACUGGAACUGAGACACGGUCCAGACUCCUACGGGAGGCAGCAGUGGGGAAUAUUGGACAAUGGGAGCAAGCCUGAUCCAGCCAUACCGCGUGGGUGAAGAAGGCCUUCGGGUUGUAAAGCCCUUUUGUUGGGAAAGAAAAGCAGCAGGUUAAUACCCCGCUGUUCUGACGGUACCCAAAGAAUAAGCACCGGCUAACUUCGUG